CAAUCAGGGCGCGGGGGCCCGGAACACCGUCCAAUCAGGCGCGGGGGCGGGCGCGCUUGCGGCCGCGUGGACGUGGCUCCGGGCAGGUCCCGGGGGUUCCUGCGCACCUGCCCGCGCGGACCCAGGUGUCCUCCUCUCACCUGCCCGGCCCUCGGGCCCGCGGGGAAGACGUCUUCCCCGGAGAGCUCGGAGCCGAGCCCCGACAUGGAGUGGAGAUUCACUGGAAGAAGCACUACAGAUAACUAAGAACAGUGCAGCUGACUCAGGGACCAGUUGCUCCCUGUGCCCGUCACGGGGAUUUUCCCAUUCCGCUGCUACCCUGUUGAACAGGUAAAUUCUGGCAGCAGAACUGCCAACUGAGAGUAUUUUCUCCUGC
Molecule: long non-coding RNA, 376 nt
Filed under: Felis catus (domestic cat)
Lineage: Eukaryota; Metazoa; Chordata; Mammalia; Carnivora; Felidae
Description: lncRNA (ENSFCAG00000049885.1)
Source: RNAcentral